Molecule: ribosomal RNA, 465 nt
Filed under: uncultured bacterium
Lineage: Bacteria
Description: partial 16S ribosomal RNA
Rfam family: Bacterial small subunit ribosomal RNA
Source: RNAcentral
CCUAUGGGGUGCAGCAGUAGGGAAUCUUCCACAAUGGACGAACGUCUGAUGGAGCAACGCCGCGUGAGUGAAGAAGGGUUUCGGCUCGUAAAGCCCUGUUGGUAGUGAAGAAAGAUAGAGGUAGUAACUGGCCUUUAUGUGACGUUAAUUACUUAGAAAGUCCCGUCUAACUACGUGCCAGCCGCCGCGGUAAUACGUAGGUGGCAAGCGUUGUCCGGAUUUAUUGGGCGUAAAGCGAGUGCAGGCGGUUCAAUAAGUCUGAUGUGAAAGCCCUAGGCUCAACCGGAGAAUUGCAUCAGAAACUGUUGAACUGGAGUGCAGAAGAGGAGAGUGGAACGCCAUGUGUAGCGGUGGAAUGCGUAGAUAUAUGGAAGAACACCAGUGGCGAAGGCGGCUUUCUGGUCUGCAACUGACGCUGAGGCUCGAAAGCAUGGGGAGCGAACAGGAUUAGAUACCCGAGUAGUC